AGUGAACGCUGGCGGUAGGCCUAACACAUGCAAGUCGAACGGCAGCACAGGAGAGCUUGCUCUCUGGGUGGCGAGUGGCGGACGGGUGAGGAACACAUCGGAAUCUACUUUUUCGUGGGGGAUAACGUAGGGAAACUUACGCUAAUACCGCAUACGACCUACGGGUGAAAGCAGGGGAUCUUCGGACCUUGCGCGAUUGAAUGAGCCGAUGUCGGAUUAGCUAGUUGGCGGGGUAAAGGCCCACCAAGGCGACGAUCCGUAGCUGGUCUGAGAGGAUGAUCAGCCACACUGGGACUGGGACACGGUCCAGACUCCUACGGGAGGCAGCAGUGGGGAAUAUUGGACAAUGGGCGCAAGCCUGAUCCAGCCAUACCGCGUGGGUGAAGAAGGCCUUCGGGUUGUAAAGCCCUUUUGUUGGGAAAGAAAUCCAGCUGGCUAAUACCCGGUUGGGAUGACGGUACCCAAAGAAUAAGCACCGGCUAACUUCGUGCCAGCCGCCGCCGUAA
RNAcentral lists this ribosomal RNA (506 nucleotides) under uncultured bacterium. Its description in RNAcentral is "partial 16S ribosomal RNA". It matches the Rfam family "Bacterial small subunit ribosomal RNA", at positions 29 to 523 of the family's 1533-position model. The record is from RNAcentral.